Molecule: transfer RNA, 67 nt
Filed under: Hypoponera sauteri
Lineage: Eukaryota; Metazoa; Arthropoda; Insecta; Hymenoptera; Formicidae
Description: tRNA-Asn
Source: RNAcentral
UCAACUGAAACCAAAAAGAGGUUUAUUAUUGUUAAUAAUUUAAUUGAAUUUAAUAAUUCCCGUUGAA